Molecule: transfer RNA, 85 nt
Filed under: Felis catus (domestic cat)
Lineage: Eukaryota; Metazoa; Chordata; Mammalia; Carnivora; Felidae
Rfam family: tRNA
About the family: Transfer RNA (tRNA) molecules are approximately 80 nucleotides in length. Their secondary structure includes four short double-helical elements and three loops (D, anti-codon, and T loops).
Source: Rfam by way of RNAcentral
GCCUGGGUGGCUUAGUCAGUUAAGCAUCCGACUUCAGCUCAGGUCAUGAUCUUAGGGUCCGUGGGUUCGAGCCCCGCGUCGGGCU